GCAUCCAUGGCUGAAUGGUUAAAGUGCACGACUCAUAAUUGACAAAUUUGUAGAUUCAAUUCUUACUGGAUGCA
Molecule: non-coding RNA, 74 nt
Organism: Datura stramonium (jimsonweed)
Lineage: Eukaryota; Viridiplantae; Streptophyta; Magnoliopsida; Solanales; Solanaceae
Source: the annotation of a GenBank genome assembly